CCCUUAGAUGUUCUGGGCCGCACGCGCGCUACACUGAUGCAUUCAACGAGUUUACAACCUCGACCGAAAGGUCUGGGUAACCUUUUGAACUUGCAUCGUGAUGGGGAUAGAUUAUUGCAAUUAUUAAUCUUCAACGAGGAAUUCCUAGUAAGCGCAUGUCAUCAGCGUGCGUUGAUUACGUCCCUGCCCUUUGUACACACCGCCCGUCGCUCCUACCGAUUGAAUGAUUUAGUGAGGACUUCGGACUGGGACCGAUGCGGCUUUCGGGCUGCGUCGGUAUUCUGGAAAGAUGUCCAAACUGUAUCAUUUAGAGGAAGUAAAAGUCGUAACA
RNAcentral lists this ribosomal RNA (331 nucleotides) under uncultured eukaryote. RNAcentral describes it as "partial 18S ribosomal RNA". It matches the Rfam family "Eukaryotic small subunit ribosomal RNA", at positions 1470 to 1796 of the family's 1831-position model. The record is from RNAcentral.